UCAUUGGCACUGACCGGAAGUUCAGAGUACUGAGUCCAGCUGAGAUUGAUGAUUACUUGGCGGAAGUUGAGUAAAUUACUUUAAUGGAGAUUGCAAUAUACAUGACAACUACUCUUCAAGUGUUGUUUGCUCAUUAAAGUUAAUGAUUUUUAUGUUGGUUAAGAAAAUUAUUGUGAUGCUUUGGAUGCUAAACCUCUUGAUGAAGACAUUACUUGUGG
RNAcentral lists this unclassified non-coding RNA (218 nucleotides) under Hevea brasiliensis (rubber tree). The record is from RNAcentral. Lineage: Eukaryota; Viridiplantae; Streptophyta; Magnoliopsida; Malpighiales; Euphorbiaceae.